RNAcentral lists this ribosomal RNA (372 nucleotides) under uncultured eukaryote. Its description in RNAcentral is "SSU rRNA". It matches the Rfam family "Eukaryotic small subunit ribosomal RNA", at positions 587 to 963 of the family's 1831-position model. The record is from RNAcentral.
AGCUCCAAUAGCGUAUAUUAAAGUUGUUGCGGUUAAAAAGCUCGUAGUUGGAUUUCUGCCGAGGACGACCGGUCCGCCCUCUGGGUUGGUAUCUGGUUCGGCCUGGGCAUCUUCUUGGGGAACGUUCUGCACUUCACUGUGUGGGUCGGUAACCAGGACUUUUACUUUGAGGAAAUUAGAGUGUUUCAAGCAGGCUUUUAGCCUUGAAUACAUUAGCAUGGAAUAAUGAUAUAGGACCUCGGUUCUAUUUUGUUGGUUUCUAGAACUGUGGUAAUGAUUAAUAGGGAUAGUUGGGGAAACUGUUACUACGUUGUCAGAGGUGAAAUUCUUGGAUUUACGUAUGAACAACUAAUGCGAAAGCAUUUUUCAAGG